UCUUUCUUUCUUUCUUUCUUUCAGCCCAGUGUCACUCUUGGUACGUGAUGUUCAACUGCUCAAGCUUCACGAGUCGAGCGCCACACCCUCUCCAGGAGCGCCAUCCACCCGGGAGUCCAGCUGAG
Molecule: long non-coding RNA, 125 nt
Organism: Octodon degus (degu)
Lineage: Eukaryota; Metazoa; Chordata; Mammalia; Rodentia; Octodontidae
Exons: 3
Source: RefSeq, a predicted model, not a curated record